AGCAAUUUUUCAAAGUUCUAUGGGGCCUCUUAUGGAAGCAAGGUUGCUUACCCCUCUUUUGAGGAUUCAAGCAAAAUUGCUUUGGGAAAUAUUUUGAAAUUCCGGAAGAAGAACUGGCAGUUUGAUUUUAUUGGUGGUAUUAUAUACUUCAUCUUGGUCUUUUCAUUGUUCCCUCAGUGUAAGUUAGCUCACGUCUUACGAGGUGAUUCGUUUUCUGGUCACCUU
Non-coding RNA from Camelina sativa (false flax), 225 nucleotides. The record is from RefSeq and is a predicted model, not a curated record. NCBI's taxonomy places the organism in Eukaryota, Viridiplantae, Streptophyta, Magnoliopsida, Brassicales, Brassicaceae.